This 468-nucleotide ribosomal RNA is filed under the name uncultured bacterium. Its description in RNAcentral is "partial 16S ribosomal RNA". It matches the Rfam family "Bacterial small subunit ribosomal RNA", at positions 28 to 507 of the family's 1533-position model. The record is from RNAcentral.
GACGAACGCUGGCGGCGUGCUUAACACAUGCAAGUCGAACGGAAAGGCCCUGCUUUUGUGGGGUGCUCGAGUGGCGAACGGGUGAGUAACACGUGAGUAACCUGCCCUUGACUUUGGGAUAACUUCAGGAAACUGGGGCUAAUACCGGAUAGGAGCUCCUGCUGCAUGGUGGGGGUUGGAAAGUUUCGGCGGUUGGGGAUGGACUCGCGGCUUAUCAGCUUGUUGGUGGGGUAGUGGCUUACCAAGGCUUUGACGGGUAGCCGGCCUGAGAGGGUGACCGGCCACAUUGGGACUGAGAUACGGCCCAGACUCCUACGGGAGGCAGCAGUGGGGAAUAUUGCACAAUGGGCGGAAGCCUGUUGCAGCAACGCCGCGUGCGGGAUGACGGCCUUCGGGUUGUAAACCGCUUUCGCCAGUGACGAAGCGUGAGUGACGGUAAUGGGUAAAGAAGCACCGGCUAACUACGUG